This 447-nucleotide ribosomal RNA is filed under the name uncultured marine eukaryote. Its description in RNAcentral is "SSU rRNA". It matches the Rfam family "Eukaryotic small subunit ribosomal RNA", at positions 114 to 564 of the family's 1831-position model. The record is from RNAcentral.
GGUUUAUUUGAUGACUUGUGACACGGAUAACUGGGGAAAUUCUUCAGCCAAUACGUGCUUCUAAGCCGACUUUGUGGAAGGUGAGUAUUUGCUCGAUUCUGAACCAACCCAGAUCUUCUGGGCUUUAAGUUGAGCGGAGAGUAAAUCUGUCCAAUCGCAUUGCACCGCGAUGCGAUGCAUCAUUCAAGUCUCUGACCUAUCAGCUUCCGAUUGUAGGGUAUUGGCUUACCAUGGCGAUGACGGGUAACAGCGAAUUUGGGUUCAGUUCUGGAGAGGGAGCCUGAGAAACGGCUACCACAUCUAAGGAAGGCAGCAGGCGCGUAACUUACCCAAUUCUGACACGGAGAGGUAGUGACAAGAAAUAACGAUACAGGGCAUUCAUGUCUUGUACUUGGGCUGAGUAGAAUGUAAACGACUCUAUGAGUAUCAAUUGGAGGGCAAGUCUGG